CCUACGGGUGGCAGCAGUGAGGAAUAUUGGUCAAUGGACGCAAGUCUGACCCAGCAACGCCGCGUGGGCGAUGGAGUGCUUCGGCAUGUAAAGCCCUAUCAGCAGGGAAGAAAAUGACGGUACCUGACUAAGAAGCCCCGGCUAAAUACGUGCCAGCAGCCGCGGUAAUACGUAUGGGGCAAGCGUUAUCCGGAUUUACUGGGUGUAAAGGGAGCGUAGGCGGCCUGGCAAGCCUGAUGUGAAAUACCGGGGCCCAACCCCGGGGCUGCAUUGGGAACUGCCAGGCUGGAGUGCCAGAGAGGCAGGCGGAAUUCCUAGUGUAGCGGUGAAAUGCGUAGAUAUUAGGAGGAACACCAGUGGCGAAGGCGGCCUGCUGGACGGUGACUGACGCUGAGGCUCGAAAGCGUGGGGAGCAAACAGGAUUAGAUACCCCAGUAGUC
This 440-nucleotide ribosomal RNA is filed under the name uncultured bacterium. Its description in RNAcentral is "partial 16S ribosomal RNA". It matches the Rfam family "Bacterial small subunit ribosomal RNA", at positions 338 to 795 of the family's 1533-position model. The record is from RNAcentral.